GAUGAACGCUGGCGGCGUGCCUAAUACAUGCAAGUCGAGCGAACAGACGAGGAGCUUGCUCCUCUGACGUUAGCGGCGGACGGGUGAGUAACACGUGGAUAACCUACCUAUAAGACUGGGAUAACUUCGGGAAACCGGAGCUAAUACCGGAUAACAUGUUGAACCGCAUGGUUCAACAGUGAAAGACGGUCUUGCUGUCACUUAUAGAUGGAUCCGCGCCGCAUUAGCUAGUUGGUAAGGUAACGGCUUACCAAGGCAACGAUGCGUAGCCGACCUGAGAGAGUGAUCGGCCACACGGGAACUGAGACACGGUCCAGACUCCUACGGGAGGCAGCAGUAGGGAAUCUUCCGCAAUGGGCGAAAGCCUGACGGAGCAACGCCGCGUGAGUGAAGAAGGUCUUCGGAUCGUAAAACUCUGUUAUUAGGGAAGAACAAAUGUGUAAGUAACUAUGCACGUCUUGACGGUACCUAAGCAGAAAGCCACGGCUAACUACGUG
This 497-nucleotide ribosomal RNA is filed under the name uncultured bacterium. RNAcentral's name for it is "partial 16S ribosomal RNA". It matches the Rfam family "Bacterial small subunit ribosomal RNA", at positions 28 to 507 of the family's 1533-position model. The record is from RNAcentral.